Molecule: long non-coding RNA, 3899 nt
Filed under: Theobroma cacao (cacao)
Lineage: Eukaryota; Viridiplantae; Streptophyta; Magnoliopsida; Malvales; Malvaceae
Description: long non-coding RNA (TCAC_LNC002549)
Source: RNAcentral
CCGUCUGCAAUUUUUUCUUUGGUUCACCAUUUUCGAUUCUUUAAAAAAUUAUUUCAUUUACUUUAAAAAUCUAAUAUGAUAUCAGAGCUUUAAAUGAAUCUUGAGGGAUUGUAGGGAAGGUUUCUUGAAUGUUGUUUUCUUGUUUUUCUUUGGUUUCAAACUUUCUAGUUUUAGCUAUUGUUCUAAUGGCUUCUUUAAGCUUGAGUGCUAUUGCUCUUCUUGUUUUCUCAGGGCAAAAUUAUCAGAUAUGGGCGAUUAAGAUGGAGGCUUAUCUAAGAGCCUAUGACCUAUGCGAGAUCAUUGAUGUUAGAGGUAAUCCCCUUGUUUGAAGAGUAAUUAAUCCAACUAUUGCUCAAUUGAAACAACUUUUCAGUUCUUCAUUCUAUAAUUUUAGAUUCUAUAUUUACUAGAAUCAUGAAUUGCAAAUCACCUAAGGAAACUUGGGAUAAGAUAAAAGAAGAAUUUUAUGGGAAUGAUAGGACUAGAUAACUUCAAGUUUUGAAACUUUGGAAAGAGUUUGAGAUUUUCUAAAUAAGUGAUUAUGAAACUCUUCAAGAUUGCUCAAACAAGGUUCACAAGAUUGUGAAUUGUUUAAGGUUGCUUAUUGAAAAUUUAUUUAAGAAGAGGAUAGUGAACAAGUUUUUAGUAAGUCCUCAAGAGAAAUAUGAAUCCAAAGUCUUAUCUCUAGAAGACUUUAAAGACUUCGGUUCAAUUUUAAUGAAUGAGCUUGUGAAUGCUUUAUAGGUCAAGAAUAGAUAAGGGCAUUGAGGUAAGAUGGUUAUGUUGAGGGUGCUUUGGUGGUUAGGAAUGUAGAUAAACAUUCUAGUAGUGGGAACAAUAAGAAGUUUGGGAAUGAAAGAAAAGAUAAAGGAAAGAAAAACAGUGAGAAGAAGUAGGGUAAUCAAAAAGGAACUUUUCCACCUUGCUCAUGCUACAAGAAGACCAAUCAUACUAAAAAGUUUUGUUGGUAUAGGGCACAUGUAAAAUCUAGAGCUUGUAACCACCAAGGUCGUGUAGAGAAAGUUUGUAAGAAUCGAAGUGGUAAGGUGGAGGAAAAGGCUGUUGUUGCUGAGCAAAAGGACCAAGCUGAAGAAGAGGUUCUAUUUAUGGAAAAGAAGGUAGAAAAUGAUGAAAAAAAGGACACUUGGUUACUAGAUAGUAGAUGCUUGAACCACUUGACUGACGACAAAGAAAACUUUCUUGUAUUUGAUGGUAGGUCCAGGACUUUUAAUGAAGAUUGGUAAUGGUGACUUCUUACUGAUUUAUGGGGUUUGCACAGUGGGAGUUUAAACAUUUGAUGGUUUGAAAUCAAUCUUAAAAGUAUACUAUGCACUAGAGGUAAAUUAGAAUUUUUUGAGUAUGGGAGAGUUUUUGGAUGAUAACUAUGAGUUAACAUUUAAAAACAAGGCCUGUAAGAUACAAUAUCCUAUUGGAAAAGAGUUAUUCACAGUAAAAAUGAAAAACAAGUGUUUCCCUUUUAACUGGUUAAAGGUUAAUUAUGUUGCUUAUAAGUGUAUCUCCACUGACAAUGAACUUCGACAAAAGAGAUAUAGUCAUGUAAACCAUUCUUAUCUAAAACAGAUGGCUUUACAUAAUUUGGUUGAUGGUCUUCCUGAAAUUUCAAAGUCUGAUCAUGUAUGCAACACCUUUCAGUUUGGGAAACAAAGCAGAACAAUAAUUCCUAAAACAAGAAGGUGGAAGCAUCAUAGAAAUUAGACCUAGUUCAUACAGACAUUGGUGGCCCCAUGAAAACCUUGUCUUUAAAUAGAAGUAAGUUUCACUUACUAUUUGUUAAUGAUUUAACACGUUUUAGUUGGAUUUAUUUUCUUAAACAUAAAUCUGAAGCAUUCAAUUCUUUUGUCAAGUAUAAAGCUCUUGUUGAAAAUCAAGCCAGCUUAACUAUUAAGCUUUUAAAGAGUAACAAUGGAAUUGAAUACAAUGUUAAGGAGUUUGAGAAGUGUUUGAGUCAAUUCGGUAUUGUUCAUCAAGAUACUGUGACUUAUAGUCCCCAUCAGAAUGGGGUUUCAGAAAGAAAAAAUAGAAUAGUAACAGAAAUGGCCUGUUGCUUGUUUGAAAUGAGCUUACCAAAUUUCCUGUGGGUAGAAGCUACUGAUAUUACCAAUUAUCUUCUAAAUCUAACUCAAACUAAAGCUCUUACAAACAAGACCUCAUAUGAAGCAUGAUUUGGUAUUAAACCUUCAGUAUCUCAUUUAAGAGUUUUUGGUUUUAUCUGCUAUACAAAGAUACUUAAUGCCAAGAGAAACAAACUUGAUGAAAAGUCACUGGUUGCAAUUCUUCUUGGCUACAGUGAAGUCUCUAAGGGAUAUAGUGUUAGUAUAAGCCCUACAAGCCAAUUUGUGGUUGUAUAGGAAUUGUAAUUUUGAGAUAUUCAUGUAUGACAUUUUGUUAUUCAUAAUAACAUUGAGGUGGUUCUUUAUCCAUAAGUUUGUAAUUUAAUUACUUUUUGGUACUUAUGUAGAUAAAGCCCAUGGAACUAUAUAUGCCUUGCAAAAGAAUUAUAUUGGGAUACAAUUAUGAGAUCCUUAUGCAUUAAAGCAUUAUUCAUAAAAGUUCCUGAUCAUUGUAUUAUUGAGACAAGGCAUCAAUAAUGCUCAAAGAUUGACACAUGUUAUGUUCCUUACUUGUGAAGUAAACAAUCGUUCUCAUAGGUUAAAGUAUAGAGAUACUUGGAACUAGCAUGUGGGUGCUUGCCAUGGGAGAGAGAGUUCACUGAACAUGACCCGCCAUGAGAAGUGCAUUUGGUAUUUCACUCAAGUGUCUAUGCAAUAUGUGAGACCUUGACCUUUAUAGACUCGUAAAAGGAAGUAUACGCGAUAUCCCUAAUCAGGGGUAAUUUCGUCAUUUCCUUACCAAACCCAUAAAAGUAAGUUUUAAACAAUAUUAAGGCCUAAGUAAGCCUAAGGCAUAAAUGAAUGAUGCAAAUAUGGGUAAAAUGACAAGGAAACAAAAAUUUUGAUGAUUUUCACAACAGGGGCAAAAUGGUCAUUAUUCACCUCGGGUGAGAAAUUUAAGUUUUCAUGAACCCGAGCAUGUCUAGACCAUUAUGAACCUUGUUCAGUGUCAAAAGAACAAAAAUAAUGCAUAAAAGAUUGGAGGAGAAUAAGUUAAUUUGUGGAGGGGUAAUUUGGUAAUUUCAAGGGAAUGGAUAAGCUUGGGCUAUAAAUAUCUUCUCCUUCCAGCAGCUUCUUGAAUUUUCAGCAGCUUGUCUUCUUCUUCUUCUUCCAUGUCACGUUGCUUCCAACCUCCAUGGAAGCUUGAUAUGGAGCUUGCAUAAUUUUCUCUCUCUAGCUUUAAUUUUCAUACCUUUGUGCCCUUUUGACUAUAACCCUUGUAUUCUUUCACUCUCUCACUUAAAGACCCUUGAUAAAUCUUAUUUUCAUACUUUCUCUCACUAGUUGGGCAUUUUAGAGAGAGAAAAAGAGAAUUACACCAUUUGUUUGGAAGCUAUUGGAAGAGAAUUCAACAACAAAGAAACCCUAGGGUGAGUGAUGAACUAAGCUUGAUUUUUAGUUGUGAAUAAUGGCUAGUAAUUAGGAUUAUGAGCUGUUUUAUUGUUAAGUAUGUUCAUUCAUUUUAUAGUGAUUAAGAUAGUGAACAUAGAUAGCCAUUUAAAGUGACAAUUGAAAGCUAGUUGAGAGAUAGCUUUUAGGGUUUAUAGUAUGUGAAUUAACAUAAUGGUGAUCUUAAUAUUAUGGUAGGUUUCAAGGAAGCCCCAUCAUCCCAUUUGGACGAUUAGGGGAAUUGAAGUCAUCUAAAGGCUCAACAAUAUACCGAUAAGUGGACUGCCUAUCAAAAUUAUUUUAAGAAUAUGACCAUUUUGUACAAAGCAUUUGAAUGAUUCUAUACAACUUUUGUUAAAACAAUGCCUUGAGAACAAG